RNAcentral lists this ribosomal RNA (279 nucleotides) under uncultured bacterium. RNAcentral describes it as "partial 16S ribosomal RNA". It matches the Rfam family "Bacterial small subunit ribosomal RNA", at positions 506 to 784 of the family's 1533-position model. The record is from RNAcentral.
UGCCAGCCGCCGCGGUAAUACGUAGGGAGCGAGCGUUAUCCGGAAUUAUUGGGCGUAAAGCGUGCGUAGGCGGUUCGUUAAGUCAAAUCUGAAAGCCCACAGCUUAACUGUGGAGGGUGAUUUGAAACUAGCGAGCUUGAGUACGGCAGAGGUUAAUAGAAUUCAAUGUAUAGCAAUAAAAUGCAUAGAUAUAUUGAGGAACACCAGUGGCGAAGGCGGCUAACUGGACCGGAACUGACGCUGAUGCACGAAAGCGUGGGGAGCAAACAGGAUUAGAUA